Molecule: non-coding RNA, 80 nt
Organism: Podarcis lilfordi (Lilford's wall lizard)
Lineage: Eukaryota; Metazoa; Chordata; Lepidosauria; Squamata; Lacertidae
Source: the annotation of a GenBank genome assembly
UCCUAGGGUACAUGUAGCUCAGUUGGUAGAGCAUGAGACUCUUAAUCUCAGGGUUUUGUGUUCAAGCUUCAAGUUGGGAA